Long non-coding RNA from Balaenoptera ricei (Rice's whale), 3747 nucleotides. RefSeq lists it as uncharacterized. The transcript has 4 exons. The record is from RefSeq and is a predicted model, not a curated record. NCBI's taxonomy places the organism in Eukaryota, Metazoa, Chordata, Mammalia, Artiodactyla, Balaenopteridae.
GCUUCCUUCCACACCGGUGGCCUGGAUCGCUCCGUCUCGCUGUGGAAGGACCAGCGUCUCCGCGUGGGUCAGGAGGCAGCCAUUGGCGGAGCCCCCGUCGGAGCCCAGGCCCCGUCCUACCGCCGGGUCCCGUCCUUUCCCGUCGGGAAGCACUCUCUGCUGGCGGGGGCUCUGAGCUGGAUUUUUAUGACCAUGGCCUCUGCCCCCGGCUCCUCCCAGGUCAUGAUGUGAACAGCCGAGGCUGGUAGUAACCACCUUCCUGUCUCUGCUGUACCCGUCUCGGCUAAUCCAGCCGGACUUCUGGUGGUGCUGGAGGUUAAACGGCACCGCGAGGCAAGAGGAGAUUAGUCUUGGGCUUUAACAAACUUCCCGCAAACAGAGUAUCUGAAAAGAAACAUUUGUUGAAGACACCACUGUUGGAGAAUGUGUCACCAGACCCCCGGUCCAUGUCUUGGCUGAGGCCUGAGAUCUGAUUCAGCUCCUUGGCGCCCCAGGGGAGGCGAGCCCUGGAGCCGGUCGUACGGGGAAAAUGGAAGCUCAGAGACACUAAGGAAGCCGUGUGGUUGAUGAGAAGAGGACCAGACGGCCACCCAGGCCAGCUCCCCCGCCGCCCCACGGGGAGAGCCUGGGCCAGGGCAGAGGAAAGCCAGAGGCGGAACCCAGGGAGGCAAGGGCUUGCAGCCCCCGGUGAGGAAUUUGGACUUUAUCCUGGAGGCCAGUGGGUCUCAAUCCUGGCUGCACAUUGGAUCCUCCGGAGAGCUCUGAGGAUGACUACUGCCUGGGUCCUACCCCAGGAAGUCUGACUCGGCUGUUUUUUUGGUUUGGUUUGGUUUGGUUUGGUUUUUUAUAUUGGAGUAGAGUUGAUUAACAGUGCUGUGUACACUGUUUGCUGAGUACAGCAAAGUGGUUCAGUUAUACAUAUACAUGUAUCUCAUCUUUUUCAGAUCCUUUUCCCAUUUAGGUCAUUGCAGGAUAUUGAGCAGAGUCCCCGGGCUGUAGAGAAGGUCCUUGGUGGUUGUCCCGUUUAAGCACAGCAGUGACGCAGCUGUUGGUUUCGAAGCUCUCCAAGCGAUGCUGUCGUGCAGGCCAGGCUGUGAUGGGAACUGCCGUCAUGUUGUCACACACGGUCACGAGGCCUGCUUUUCACUGACCCUUCGCAGGGACGCCGGGGCCCGAGGCCACGCCCUCGCGCCCCAGCUGCCCCGAGAGCCCUCACAGAGGCGUUACCCUCUUCUCCCAAGCCAGUCUGCGAGCUCCGGCCGCCCCACGCUGUCCCCUCCGUUUCUGGCCCCCGCCCCCCAGAGGGCGCUCAGCCUCUCGCACUCUGGAAGCCUUUGCGCCCACGCUAAAGCUUGCGGCGAGGAGCUCCAAACAUUGCCAUCAUACUGAUGACAUUUUAUUGUUACAGAGAAAAGUAAUUUUAAAAUGUAUACAUCAUCCACAUUUCAAUUUUUUUCUCUCUGGAAACUUUACUUCCCCACAUGGCUGGAACAUAAACAGACCAAGAGGACCACGGUGACCUGCAGAAAGCAAGUGAGCGGAACUGACCUCCCGGUGACUGUUGUUAUUCUAGAGUCAACGAGUUGAGAGCUUUGCCCCGCAGGGUCUUCAUCUCCUGCCUUCUCCAGUGGCUGUGCUUGGUCUCUCACCUCUCUAAGCAUAUACAUCAAACACAGACCUGGCAAGGCGCAUCAGGGCCCUAAAGAAGCACCACCAACCUGCCGCCGGGCCCAGCGUUGCGAGAGAUGCCUUGCGAAGGUCGGAGGGCUGUUUGUCCGCAUACACAGUUGAAACCACGCUGAGCGAUCCCUUAGUUACCAGUGGAAACACCCGACUGGUAAGUGGCUCAAGCCUGGUUUCCAGUCUGAGCCGCACCAGUUUCUCAGCAGAGCCACGUGACCUAAGCUCUCAGCCGCCGUUUCCAGACGCACACCUCGUGUGCAUCCCGUCCCCCAGGACUGUUGCAAAGGGGAAACGAGAACUUAUUCGUACACAUCCCGGCGUGAUGGCUUCUAAAGGCUCAGUUGGCAGGAGCUGGUUCUUCAUGUUUAUGAGUCAAGUGGACGCACAGUAUCUCUGACUCUGGUAAUAGCUCCAGAAGGUGGGAAUCAAGAGGGAGGGCUCUGCACCUGGGUGGAGGAGUGGCUGAUGUGGAGGCCAGAUGUCGCCGGUGUGGCGAGGGGCAGAACUUUCCAGAUAUCUGGGAGGACGUGAUGAGUGUAUUUGGUUGGAAGCACAGAUGUCUAAGGGCUGUGAGCUCAGCUAUACGAUCUGCCCAGAUAGAAGAAUUCAAUACAGAAUUAAGUGCUUCUCCCCUAUAUUCACAGCAGCACUAUUGACAAUAGCCAAGACAUGGAAGCCACCUAAAUGUCCAUCGACAGAGGAAUGGAUAAAGAAGAUGUGGUACAUGUAUACAAUGGAAUAUUAGCCAUAAAAAAGAAUGAAAUAAUGCCAUUUGCAGCAACAUGGAUGGACCCAGAGAGUCUCAUACUAAGUGAAGUAAGUCAGAAAGAGAAAGACAAAUACCAUAUAAUAUCACUUAUAUGUGGAAUCUAAAAUAUGACACAAAUGAACUUAUCUACAAAACAGAAACAGACUCACGGACAUAGUGAACAGACUGGUGGUUGCCAAAGUGGGGGAGGAGUGAAUUGGCAGAUGCAAACUAUUAUCUAUAGGAUGGAUAAUCAACAAGGUCCUACUGUAUAGCACAGGGAGAUAUAUUCAAUGUCCUGUGAUAAACCAUAAUGGAAAAGAAUAUGAAAAGAAUAUAUAUAUGUAUAACUGAAUCACUUUGCUGUACAGCACAAACUAACACAACACUGUAAAUCAACUAUACUUCAGUAAAAUUAAAAAAAUAAAAUUAAGUGCUUCUCAAACAUUUUCUAAAGAGGGUGAAAUGUGAAGUUUUGGCAAAUACCCAAAAGUUUUGAAAAAGCAGAAAUACCAGAAAAUGAAGAACUAAAAUGUUCCCUAAUGUGUAUAAUUAAAAAAAAAAGACUAAUUGGCACCACCUUAUGGAAUCAGUGUAAAAAUAUAUAGAUCAUGUCAGCCCUUAAAGAUAUUAAUGAUUGAGUGAUAUGAUAAUCUAAGGGGAGUUGAAUGAUAUGUUGGCAACUAAAGUCACUCUCACAGUUUCUUGGACGUUUUGCAAUAUGAUUCUCCUUAGUGGGUCUUGAGAGGGUGAGAUCACCAUCAAGGCAGCAAAGAAUCUCUCGGGUUGAUUACAGCCAUCGAGGGAGAGCAGAUGAUUCUUUGCAUCCAUGAAAAUAAAUAUUUGCCACAAACCCCAUAGACAGCAGUCUUCAUGGGGACAUUAAGUCCCACUGAUGGGUUCUUUAUUUCUGUCCCUGUCUGACCAAGCUCUGGUGUGUGUGUGUCUGACUCUGUCCGCUUCUGGCUGAGGCUGAAGGAGGUGAGGAAAAGGCACAAGGACAGAGAAGACAGAACUGAGCGUUGGGUCAUGCUUGCUGUGCGCUGGAGAGAAUUUCAGAACCAAAUACCUGCUGUAUAGCACAGGGAACUCUACUCGUAUCUUGUAAUAACCUAUAAGGGAAAAGAAUCUGAAAAAGAAUAGAUAGAUAAAUGUAUAACUGAAUCACUUUGCUGUACACCUGAAACUAACACAACUGUAAAUCAAUUAUAUUUCAAUAAAAAUUUGAAAAAAAUCAUCUGUGGGAUAUCAGUCAGUUGUAAUACUAUGCAGCCAAUAAACUGAUAAUUACAUUGACAAUUUUGACACAUGAAAAA